AACGUAGGACGCAAGCGUUAUCCGGAGUUACUGGGCGUAAAGCGCGGGCAGGCGGUCGGUCAAGUCUGAUGUGAAAUCUCUCCGCUCAACGGGGAGCAGCCAUUGGAAACUGGGCGACUGGAGUCUGUCAGAGGUAGGCGGAAUUCCGGGUGGAGUGGUGAAAUGCGUAGAGAUCCGGAGGAACACCAGAGGCGAAGGCGGCCUACUGGGUCAGUACUGACGCUGAGCCGCGAAAGCCAGGGGAGCGAACGGG
RNAcentral lists this ribosomal RNA (253 nucleotides) under uncultured bacterium. Its description in RNAcentral is "partial 16S ribosomal RNA". It matches the Rfam family "Bacterial small subunit ribosomal RNA", at positions 524 to 776 of the family's 1533-position model. The record is from RNAcentral.